RNAcentral lists this long non-coding RNA (1012 nucleotides) under Homo sapiens (human). RNAcentral describes it as "non-protein coding lnc-AGA-24:6". The record is from RNAcentral. Lineage: Eukaryota; Metazoa; Chordata; Mammalia; Primates; Hominidae.
GAGAACCUUUGUGUCUAGCUCAGGGAUUGUAAACGCACCAAUCAGCGCCCUGUCAAAACAGACCACUCGGCUCUACCAAUCAGCAGGAUGUGGGUGGGGCCAGAUAAGAGAAUAAAAGCAGGCUGCCCCAGCCAGCAGUGGUAACCUGCUGGGGUUCCCUUCCACGCUGUGGGAGGUUUGUUCUUUCGCUCUUUGCAAUAAUUCUUGCUGCUGCUCACUCCUUGGGUCCACACUGCCUUUAUGAGCUGUAACACUCACUGUGAAGGUCUGCAGCUUCAGUCCUGAAGCCAGCGAGACCACGAGCCCACCAGAAGGAACGAACGACUGCAGACGUGCCGCCUUAAGAGCUAUAACACUCACCUCGAAGAUCCGCAGCUUCACUCCUGAGCCAGCGAGACCAAGAACCCACCAGAAGGAAGAAACUGCCAACACAUCCGAACAUCAGAAGGAACGAGCUCCAGACACGCAGCCUUUAAGAACUGUAACACUCACUGCGAGGGUUCGCGGCUUCAUUCUUGAAGUCAGUGAGACCAAGAACCCACCAAUUCCGGACCCACUGGCAUUACAGGCGUGAAUCACUGUGUCUGGCCAAAAAGGAUCUAAUCUUAUAGCAGUGGAAUGAGGGGGAAGCCCAGCAAGGCCCAUCUGUUUGGAGUCUUCCUGGACUUCUGGGGCCUGACCCUUUUGGAACGGGGGUUUUAAGAUUCAUAAUCGACAAAGUUGUUCCUACUUUGGCCAUUGGAGCUCUUUCCAGUUAGCUUCUCUUCCUUGGACAGCUUCCAUACGUUUUUGAGCACUUCCUUAUUUCUGACACCAGAAGAUGACUCAGGCUUGACUUGUAUUCUCCCCGUCCAACAAUGGAAUCUGCCAUUUCUCCAAGGAGCCCUGAUUCCUUUUAUUUGAGCGUGGUACAUAGAAGCUGAGCAACUUUUUCUCUCUUUCUAAUAAAUGCUAAUUCAGGAAAAAUAAAAAACUUAUAAAACAAAACUUCUCCUCUCAAAAUAAAAAUAAU